RNAcentral lists this ribosomal RNA (510 nucleotides) under uncultured Desulfobulbus sp. RNAcentral's name for it is "bacterial SSU rRNA". It matches the Rfam family "Bacterial small subunit ribosomal RNA", at positions 903 to 1382 of the family's 1533-position model. The record is from RNAcentral. Lineage: Bacteria; Pseudomonadati; Thermodesulfobacteriota; Desulfobulbia; Desulfobulbales; Desulfobulbaceae.
CCUUGCCAGCCCGCUCAAGAAACUCAAAGGAAUUGACGGGGGCCCGCACAAGCGGUGGAGUAUGUGGUUUAAUUCGAUGCAACGCGAAGAACCUUACCUGGUCUUGACAUCCCAGAAAUCCCUUGGAAACUUGGGAGUGCUUCCAUUAGGAAGAAUCUGGAGACAGGUGCUGCAUGGCUGUCGUCAGCUCGUGUCGUGAGAUGUUGGGUUAAGUCCCGCAACGAGCGCAACCCUUGCCUUUAGUUGCCAGCAGUUCGGCUGGGCACUCUAAAGGGACUGCCGGUGUUAAACCGGAGGAAGGUGGGGAUGACGUCAAGUCCUCAUGGCCUUUAUGACCAGGGCUACACACGUACUACAAUGGCCGAUACAAAGGGCAGCGACACUGCGAGGUGAAGCCAAUCCCGUAAAAUCGGUCUCAGUCCGGAUUGGAGUCUGCAACUCGACUCCAUGAAGUUGGAAUCGCUAGUAAUCGUGAAUCAGAAUGUCACGGUGAAUACGUUCCCGGGCCUU